UUGCGGUUAAAACGCUCGUAGUUGGAGAUCUGUCAAAAAUACUGGUCCGCCCUCGUGGUGAGUACAUGGUAAGUUUUUGUCAUCAUCUUGGGGAACUUGUUUGCACUUUACUGUGUGACUUGAGAUCCAGGACUUUUACUUUGAGGAAAUGAGAGUGUUUCAAGCAGGCGGAAGCCCUGAAUACGUUAGCAUGGAAUAAUAGCAUCGGAUCUCCUUCCAAAGCUGUUGGUUCAUUGGAAAGAGGUAAUGGUAAACAGGGAUAGUUGGGGGCAUUCGUAUUUAACUGUCAGAGGUGAAAUUCUUGGAUUUGUUAAAGACGAACUACCGCGAAAGCAUCAGCCAAGGAUGUUUUCAUUGAUCAAGAACGAAAGUUAGGGGAUCGAAGACGAUCAG
RNAcentral lists this ribosomal RNA (393 nucleotides) under uncultured marine eukaryote. RNAcentral describes it as "SSU rRNA". It matches the Rfam family "Eukaryotic small subunit ribosomal RNA", at positions 613 to 1011 of the family's 1831-position model. The record is from RNAcentral.